CAUGCUAGAGACUGUCAAGGCUCGGCCCAAGUCGGAUUCUGCUGUGAAUAAUGGUGUCUCGGGGACGCCGAAUCCUGACGUGGUAUCGAUGGUGGCGCCCAGUGAGGAUAUAUCGAGUUCCAUUGGGACUGAGGCUUGAUCUUAUCAUGGUUCAUAUUCGUAUUUUUGAGGAUUUCUUUUUUCGUUUUUAAUUAUCUUGAGUACGUUUUGUACUAAAUUAUGGAUUUCCUUAACGAUUAUAUGAUAAUAAUUUUGUCACAUUAUCAUCUAGGGUUUUUUCCCCUAAUUACUGAUUCUUAUAUUACUGCGCGGAAAAAAACCCUAGAUGAUAAUGUGACAAAA
This 342-nucleotide unclassified non-coding RNA is filed under the name Hevea brasiliensis (rubber tree). Lineage: Eukaryota; Viridiplantae; Streptophyta; Magnoliopsida; Malpighiales; Euphorbiaceae. The record is from RNAcentral.